CUAUGGCUCAGGAUGAACGCUAGCUACAGGCCUAACACAUGCAAGUCGAGGGGUAGCGUGAGGGAAGCUUGCUUCCCUUGACGACGACCGGCGAAUGGGUGAGUCACGCGUGUCCAACCUGCCCCGUGCCCGGGAGUAGCCCUUGGGAAAUGAGGAUUAAGACCCGAUAUGUGGCGCUUCCGCAUGGCGGCGCCAUGAAGCAGGCACGGGAUGGGACGCGUCGGAUUAGCUUGACGGCGGGGCAACGGCCCACCGUGGCGACGAUCCGCAGGGUUCUGAGAGGAAGGUCCCCCACACUGGCACUGAGACACGGGCCAGACUCCUACGGGAGGCAGCAGUGAGGAAUAUUGGUCAAUGGGCGGGAGCCUGAACCAGCCAAGUAAGCGUGCAGGACGACGGCCCUACGGGUUGUAAACUGCUUUUCCGGGAGGAUAAAGUGAGCCACGCGUGGUUCAUUGCAGGUAUCCCGGGAAUAAGGACCGGCUAAUUCCGUGCCAGCAGCUGC
This 505-nucleotide ribosomal RNA is filed under the name uncultured bacterium. Its description in RNAcentral is "bacterial SSU rRNA". It matches the Rfam family "Bacterial small subunit ribosomal RNA", at positions 17 to 518 of the family's 1533-position model. The record is from RNAcentral.